UAAUACGUAGGGUGCAAGCGUUAAUCGGAAUUACUGGGCGUAAAGCGUGCGCAGGCGGUUUUGUAAGACCGAUGUGAAAUCCCCGGGCUUAACCUGGGAACUGCAUUGGUGACUGCAAGGCUUGAGUGUGUCAGAGGGAGGUGGAAUUCCGCGUGUAGCAGUGAAAUGCGUAGAUAUGCGGAGGAACACCGAUGGCGAAGGCAGCCUCCUGGGAUAACACUGACGCUCAUGCACGAAAGCGUGGGGAGCAAACAGGAUUAGAUACCCUGGUAGUCCACGCCCUAAACGAUGUCUACUAGUUGUCGGGGAUUAAUUUCCUUGGUAACGCAGCUAACGCGGGAAGUAGACCGCCUGGGGAGUACGGUCGCAAGAUUA
This 375-nucleotide ribosomal RNA is filed under the name uncultured bacterium. RNAcentral's name for it is "bacterial SSU rRNA". It matches the Rfam family "Bacterial small subunit ribosomal RNA", at positions 521 to 896 of the family's 1533-position model. The record is from RNAcentral.